GUGAGUAAAUCUACCUCUUUGAUAUUGCAAUUUUACUAAAAAGAGGUCUAUUUUUGCACACAG
Molecule: microRNA precursor, 63 nt
Filed under: Drosophila simulans
Lineage: Eukaryota; Metazoa; Arthropoda; Insecta; Diptera; Drosophilidae
Description: Dsi-Mir-2584_pre stem-loop
Source: RNAcentral